UCGGGGCUCGGGCUCGCGCGGCCGCUGGACACCCAGCCGUGGGGACGGGUGCGGGCUUCUCCCUCUCCGCUGCUCCGCCCCCGCCGUGCCUGCUCUGCCCGGCUCUCCCGCCGCACACGCGGCCGCCUGACGGAGGCAGGGGCUUUGGGGUGCAGAGCGUGUAGCUGGGAGGAGAGUGCGGCCUUCUCCUAACCCUCGGAUCCUCUUAUUAUAGCGGCUGAGCGAGGCAGGAGCAGAGCAGGCGGUCAGACAGCGCCGGGCCUCGAGUCCGUCGGGUGUGGCGGAGGUGCUCCUGAGGACUCGUCACGGUGGCCGGGCGCUCUCUGGCACGGCCAGCCACUCUCCCUGCUCAAGUCGCGGGUGCUUGUGUCCGGACUGGACCCGGCUGGCAGCUCGGGCUGAACCCGACGCUCGGAGGUUAAGGAGUCUCCUGUUCGCGCGGUCAGCCUCCCUGCCGACGGGGGUGAAGCACAGGUAAGAGGAGAGACCUCAAGCAAGCGACCCUCUGCAGCAGCCUGCGAAGGCCACUCUGCAACAGUCUUCGGCAACGGCUUCAGUCUCGCUAGGACACUGGGAAAGGCGAGGGCCAGGCCCAAAAAACGUCAGGUAUGAAAAGUCCUCUGCCCCAGUUAGCGUCCCCCUCAGUACUGUUCAGCUCACACUGGCUUCGCAGACAGUCGCGUAGAUCCCUCUGAAGCCCAGCGUUUAGCUAGUCCGUCCAUCGCCGGAGAGAAGGAGCCACACUGAGGACGGCCCCGCCACGCGCCGAGUGCUGUAGAGAACGCCCGAGACAGAGCCAGCGCGCAAAAGCCUCAGCCCAGCUCAGUCCUUCUUCAACCCCAGGGCACUCACACUAUGAAUAAACGGGCUACACAGUUGCUGAGAUGACUUCCUGUUCUUCAUUUUCCACGUGCCUUUAAGAAAAACUUGCAACUACUACAGAACUAUUCACUUAAGAAGUUUAAAUUCUGCUUGGCACAAUAUGCACACCUAUAUCCCUAGUUACUCGGGAGGCUGAACUGGGAGGAUUGCCGGAGCCCUGCAGUUUGAGGCCAGACUGGAAAACUGAGAGAACAAAAGAAAAACAGAAGUGUAUGUUCUGAUGUGACACCAGAGAGUAACGGAGAGUCUCUUGUAUUUCACUUAACUCACAAAUGAGUUUAAUUCAUAUUCUGGUACGGAAUAUGCCACACUCAUAUUAAAAUAUGAGUCAGUAAAGACAUUUUACACAAUACUAGAAUCUCAUGCCUUGUUAUUAGUAGUUCUAAUAAAGAGCUUGUGUUUUCAGACUUUUGUAAAAGUUCUUUUAAAUUGUUCCUCAUCUAUAUGGCAGCUUUACUGAGAAAGUGAGUUGAAACAAUGUCUGACACCAACAUCUUAUCCUCUCCCAUAUAUAUAUAUUUUUUUUAAUUUUUAAUUUUUUUUGGUAUUGGGAAUUGAACUCACAACCUUGAGCCUGCCAGGCAAGGUGCCGGUGAGUUAUAACCCCAGCCACCCCUUAUUUAUUAUAGAUAAAAAUUCUACCAGGAAAUGUGCUAGCUGAUGCUGUGACUACAUUCGUGACAUGUUCCCUUCCAGUCCCUUCCAAAAAUAAACACCCUCCACCCCAAACCUUAGGAUCAAAAGCCACCUGGCCAGUGCAAAGCCAUGGCCUUCACAGUGUGCUUCUGCCUCUAGGGCCGACACUUUUCCCUCCCAGUAGCUGCUGGAAGGAGCCCUAGCAAGAGGAGUCAGGGAACCUCACAAAUGUGACAGCUUGGACAAGAAGCCCGAAGUUUUCUUUUCCCACAGAUGUGAAACACUUGGGCACCUUAGGUGGCUCCCUUAGUCCGGGGGUGGCUUGUGGUGGGCCUGAGCUCUGUGGGAGGGCAACAGUGCUGGUCCGAGGGGACAUCUUGAGAUUCUGCGGUAUGUCUGCAGCUACACCCCUCCACCUGGGACACUGCAGAGGCUCUCCUGCCUCCAGUAGGUUUCCCACUAAGUAUCAGCACCUGGGAAAACGGGGUCAAUACACUAUACUAUC
Molecule: long non-coding RNA, 2023 nt
Organism: Chinchilla lanigera (long-tailed chinchilla)
Lineage: Eukaryota; Metazoa; Chordata; Mammalia; Rodentia; Chinchillidae
Exons: 4
Source: RefSeq, a predicted model, not a curated record